This is a long non-coding RNA of Bombina bombina (fire-bellied toad), 815 nucleotides long. RefSeq lists it as uncharacterized. The transcript has 3 exons. The record is from RefSeq and is a predicted model, not a curated record. NCBI's taxonomy places the organism in Eukaryota, Metazoa, Chordata, Amphibia, Anura, Bombinatoridae.
UGCAGCUCUCCACCUUUAAAGACAGUGCUUCAAAACUGCUGCAAGACUAUGAAUAGAGAACACAAGAAUAACCCUCCUCUGUAGAUGUUUCUGUCAACAUGAAGAACUACAAAAGCUUAACAGAUCCCUGGACUUACAGAAAACAAAACAAGGAUACUCCUAUCCCUCUAUUCUUGGUGUCUGGAUGGAAUUCUUUUGAUUUGCACUUGGGAUCUUCUGAAUUGGCCUGCCUGACUACUACUGGACAUGCUAAGGCCUUGUGACAAGUUUACCUAUGGUUGCUGCAAUCGUUACCUGCAACUAACUGUGUCAUCUACUUGUUUCACCCUAUAGUUAUUCCUUGGCCUUUUCAGUGGUUAUAUACACUAUUGUUACUGUUUGUAAACACUGUGAAGAAUACACAUGUUGUAUUUCUUGAUGGAACUGCUCCUACAGACUUUAUUGCUUUCAUUUCUGCAACACAUUUCUCUUACUACUAAUGUAGUUGUGAACUGGACGUUCUCUGCAAUGACGCUGCUAUUAAUUUGAUUCCUUCAAUCAAGACUUGGACAUCUUUGCUUAUGAACUAUGUAAUUGUUGGAAUAUUCUUUAUUGUAGUGUAUGACGUCAAAUCCACUGUCUUUUGUUUGAAAUAUGUCUGGUAUAUGUCUGGUAGUUUCUUCUGUGUUGGCCCUUAGUGUUUUAUCAUUGGGAUUGUGUCUUUUACAAAAAGAAAAGAAAGUGGGGGAAUGUGGAGUUAUAAAAUAUAGAAUAUGGAAUGAAGAGUUAGAAAUAUAAUUAACAUACGGCUAGAUUACGAGUUUGGUGUUAUGAUU